UCUGCCUCCCAGGUUCAAGCAAUUCUCCUGCCUCAGCCUCCCAAGUAGCUAGAAUUACAGGCGCCUGCUACCACGCUUUGCUACUUUUUUGUAUUUUUAGUAGAGACGGGGUUUCACCAUGUUUGUUAGGCUGGUGUCGAACUCCUGACCUCACGUGAUCCAUCCGCCUUGGCCCCCCAAAGUGCUGGGAUUACAGGCGUGAGCCACCGGCCUGUAGUUUUAAAUUUACUAAUGUUAAAACUAAAGUUUUAAAACCCGGCCUGUAGUUUUAAAUUUACUAAUGUCAUCAUGUACCCACUGUGUGUCAGGAGCAAUUCUGCUAUCUGCUUGUGUAUACAUCUUGUAUCCUUGUUUGACGUAAAAAGAAACGCGAGGGAGCUUGGAAGACGUGUCCAAGGUGAAAGAGCUGGGAAGCAGCAGAGCUCAGAUUUGACCCCAGGCUACCUGACUAUCUGACCUUCAGCCUCCCAAGAGCUGUACUUUUCUAUACUCCUGCUCUCUCCUUUCCAGGUUCCCUCUGCACCUCACGCAGCUCAGCACACUCCUCAGUGUGUGGCACUUCAUCAAUAUUGGUCUAUGCAAACCUUUUGUCUUUUAGUUUUAUUUCUUUCCCUUCAUUCCCAGUCCCCUGCCUACUUUCCUUUUUCCCAGGGGCACCCAUCCAAUUUUAAUGUUUUGAUACAUAUGCUCGAAAAGCUAAAGCAUUGUUCUGCAUAUGUGUGCAUUUUAAAUGUCCAUAAAUGGCAUUGAAGCUGUGAAUCAGUUUCUGUUGCAUUGUGUUUUUUUAAUUCAGCACUUUUUUUCAAGAUCUAUUCAUGCUGCUCCAAGUACAUCUAGUUCUUUGCUUCUAACAGCUGCAGAGAAAUCUGCGGUGUUCAUUCACCAUAUUUUGUUCAUACAUUCCCCUGAGGUUGGAGACCUAGAUUGCCUUCCAGUUCCUGCCCCUACAAACCGUGUCACCAUGAGCAUCCUGGUACAUGCUCCCUUCUGAUUCUGUGCCAGUCUCCUGUCAUUGUAGCUGGGAGUAGAAUUGCUGGAUAACAGGACACCUGCAAACGGCGUUUUAGUAAAUAUCAUCUAAUUGCUCUCCCGAAUGGUUAUAAUACUUUAUCCUCAUAAUGAGCAGUGCAUAAGAGAUUACAUUUCUGCAUGUCCUCAUCAAGACAUGGCAUCAUCCAGCUUUCUAAUUUUGCCAAUCCAAUGAGUGUAGCGUGAUCUCAUUUUCAUUUGCAUGCCUCUGAUUACUAAUGAGGUUCAGCAUCUUUUCAUAUACUCACUAGUGUUUUUUUGUUUCCCUUCCUGUGAAUUGCUUAUUCAUGUUCUUUACCAGAUUUUCUGCUUUUUUCUUUUUCAUGUUGCUUAGCAGGAGAUCCUUGCAUAUUUUAGUUUAGUUCCUAGGGAUAAUUAAGCCCUACUGCAUAUGGGUAUGUCUUAUACAUUCCCUAGGGCAUGGAUUAUAUACAUAACAAAUUAACCUCUAAGCCUGUAGCAUGGGACUAUUUACCUACUGUUCUCAGCAAAGUUCAGAAAACACUCAAAUUAUUUGCUGUUUUUUUGUUUUUGUUUUUGUUUUUCUUUUUUUGAGGUGGAGUCUUGCUCUGUCGCCCAGGGUGGAGUGCAGUGGCGCGAUCUUACCUCACUGCAACCUCCCUCUCUGGGGUUCAAGUGAUUCUCCUGCCUCAGCUUUCCGGGUAGCUGGGACUACAUGUGUGCACUACAAUGCCUGGCUAAUUUUAUCAUAUUUUUGGUAGAGAUGGAGUUUCGCCAUGUUGGCCAGGCUGGUCUCGAACUCCUGACCUCAAGUGAUCCACCUGCCUUGGCCUCCCAAAGUGCUGGGAUUCAGGCGUGAGCCACCGUGCCUGGCCAUAUUUGCUGGUUUUUGAGAUUCAGAUGAGGAACUUCAGUUGAAAAAGUCUGUUCUAGAUAAAAAUUUCUAGUCAAUGUAGAUAUCGCCAAUAUUUUUUCUUAGAAUGUCACCCACUUGUGGCAUCUAGCAUUGAAUGGAAAUCCUUGAUUUUUUAAAAUUACAAAUAACCAUUGAUUAUUUUAAAGCAGUAUUUAUUAAUUGUAGAAAUUUCAGAAACACAAAUAAUCUAAAAAAUAAAAGCACCAAAUAUUCUUCCAGGUCGUUUCCUGUGUGAGAGUAUGUGUGUGUGUGUGUGUUUGCUUGCCAAAAUACAAUCGUGUUGUAUGAAAUGUUUUAUAAUCUGUUUUUUGUUGUUGUUAAUAAUUGCCAUCUUUACAUGUCAAUAAAUUUUUAUUUAAUAUCC
RNAcentral lists this long non-coding RNA (2270 nucleotides) under Homo sapiens (human). RNAcentral describes it as "non-protein coding lnc-SEZ6L2-1:1". The record is from RNAcentral. Lineage: Eukaryota; Metazoa; Chordata; Mammalia; Primates; Hominidae.